UACGGAGGGUGCGAGCGUUGUCCGGAAUUACUGGGCGUAAAGCGCACGUAGGCGGAUUUGUAAGUCAGGGGUGAAAUCCCGGGGCUCAACCUCGGAACUGCCUUUGAUACUGCAAAUCUCGAGUCCGGAAGAGGUGAGUGGAAUUCCUAGUGUAGAGGUGAAAUUCGUAGAUAUUAGGAAGAACACCAGUGGCGAAGGCGGCUCAUUGGUCCGGUACUGACGCUGAGGUGCGAAAGCGUGGGGAGCAAACAGG
This 253-nucleotide ribosomal RNA is filed under the name uncultured bacterium. RNAcentral's name for it is "partial 16S ribosomal RNA". It matches the Rfam family "Bacterial small subunit ribosomal RNA", at positions 524 to 776 of the family's 1533-position model. The record is from RNAcentral.